CCUACGGGUGGCAGCAGUGGGGAAUAUUGCACAAUGGGCGCAAGCCUGAUGCAGCCAUGCCGUGUGUGUGAAGAAGGCUUUCGGGUUGUAAAGCACUUUCAGCGGGGAGGAAGGCGGUGAGGUUAAUAACCUCAUCGAUUGACGUUACCCGCAGAAGAAGCACCGGCUAACUCCGUGCCAGCAGCCGCGGUAAUACGGAGGGUGCAAGCGUUAAUCGGAAUUACUGGGCGUAAAGCGCACGCAGGCGGUCUGUCAAGUCGGAUGUGAAGUCCCCGGGCUCAACCUGGGAACUGCAUUCGAAACUGGCAGGCUAGAGUCUUGUAGAGGGGGGUAGAAUUCCAGGUGUAGCGGUGAAAUGCGUAGAGAUCUGGAGGAAUACCGGUGGCGAAGGCGGCCCCCUGGACAAAGACUGACGCUCAGGUGCGAAAGCGUGGGGAGCAAACAGGGUUAGAUACCCGGUAGUC
RNAcentral lists this ribosomal RNA (464 nucleotides) under uncultured Klebsiella sp. RNAcentral's name for it is "bacterial SSU rRNA". It matches the Rfam family "Bacterial small subunit ribosomal RNA", at positions 338 to 795 of the family's 1533-position model. Lineage: Bacteria; Pseudomonadati; Pseudomonadota; Gammaproteobacteria; Enterobacterales; Enterobacteriaceae. The record is from RNAcentral.